RNAcentral lists this ribosomal RNA (495 nucleotides) under uncultured bacterium. RNAcentral describes it as "partial 16S ribosomal RNA". It matches the Rfam family "Bacterial small subunit ribosomal RNA", at positions 28 to 507 of the family's 1533-position model. The record is from RNAcentral.
GACGAACGCUGGCGGCGUGCCUAAUACAUGCAAGUAGAACGCUGAAGGAGGAGCUUGCUUCUCUGGAUGAGUUGCGAACGGGUGAGUAACGCGUAGGUAACCUGCCUGGUAGCGGGGGAUAACUAUUGGAAACGAUAGCUAAUACCGCAUAAUAGUAGAUGUCGCAUGACAUUUGCUUAAAAGGUGCAAUUGCAUCACUACCAGAUGGACCUGCGUUGUAUUAGCUAGUUGGUGAGGUAACGGCUCACCAAGGCAACGAUACAUAGCCGACCUGAGAGGGUGAUCGGCCACACUGGGACUGAGACACGGCCCAGACUCCUACGGGAGGCAGCAGUAGGGAAUCUUCGGCAAUGGACGGAAGUCUGACCGAGCAACGCCGCGUGAGUGAAGAAGGUUUUCGGAUCGUAAAGCUCUGUUGUAAGAGAAGAACGAGUGUGGGAGUGGAAAGUUCACACUGUGACGGUAUCUUACCAGAAAGGGACGGCUAACUACGUG